UCCCAUUCCGAACAGAGAAGUUAAGCUCACUCACGCCGAUGGUACUGCGAUACAAUGUGGGAGAGUAGGUAGCCGCCGUUU
This 81-nucleotide ribosomal RNA is filed under the name Bacteroidales bacterium KHT7. The record is from RNAcentral. Lineage: Bacteria; Pseudomonadati; Bacteroidota; Bacteroidia; Bacteroidales.